AUUUUGUUUAAUUUCCUUUUUUCUCUGCAGCCGAGGACGGUGAAAUCCAGAACUGCUGGCACUGGAAGCCGGCACUGGCGACUCCUGGUCCAGUUUUCCACUAACACAUCGUGUUUCCUCUCUUCCUGUGAAUCUUCAUGGGAGGCCUUGGAGACAAAAUAAGUCAC
This 167-nucleotide long non-coding RNA is filed under the name Microcebus murinus (gray mouse lemur). Its description in RNAcentral is "lncRNA (ENSMICG00000048243.1)". Lineage: Eukaryota; Metazoa; Chordata; Mammalia; Primates; Cheirogaleidae. The record is from RNAcentral.